GAUGAACGCUGGCGGCGUGCCUAAUACAUGCAAGUCGAGCGAACGGACGAGAAGCUUGCUUCUCUGAUGUUAGCGGCGGACGGGUGAGUAACACGCGGAUAACCUACCUAUAAGACUGAGAUAACUUCGGGAAACCGGAGCUAAUACCGGAUAAUAUUUUGAACCGCAUGGUUCAAAAGUGAAAGACGGUCUUGCUGUCACUUAUAGAUGGAUCCGCGCUGCAUUAGCUAGUUGGUAAGGUAACGGCUUACCAAGGCAACGAUGCAUAGCCGACCUGAGAGGGUGAUCGGCCACACUGGAACUGAGACACGGUCCAGACUCCUACGGGAGGCAGCAGUAGGGAAUCUUCCGCAAUGGGCGAAAGCCUGACGGAGCAACGCCGCGUGAGUGAUGAAGGUCUUCGGAUCGUAAAACUCUGUUAUUAGGGAAGAACAUAUGUGUAAGUAACUGUGCACAUCUUGACGGUACCUAAUCAGAAAGCCACGGCUAACUACGUG
RNAcentral lists this ribosomal RNA (497 nucleotides) under uncultured bacterium. RNAcentral's name for it is "partial 16S ribosomal RNA". It matches the Rfam family "Bacterial small subunit ribosomal RNA", at positions 28 to 507 of the family's 1533-position model. The record is from RNAcentral.